This 506-nucleotide ribosomal RNA is filed under the name uncultured bacterium. RNAcentral describes it as "partial 16S ribosomal RNA". It matches the Rfam family "Bacterial small subunit ribosomal RNA", at positions 29 to 523 of the family's 1533-position model. The record is from RNAcentral.
AGUGAACGCUGGCGGUAGGCCUAACACAUGCAAGUCGAACGGCAGCACAGGAGAGCUUGCUCUCUGGGUGGCGAGUGGCGGACGGGUGAGGAAUACAUCGGAAUCUACUCUGUCGUGGGGGAUAACGUAGGGAAACUUACGCUAAUACCGCAUACGACCUACGGGUGAAAGCAGGGGACCUUCGGUCCUUGCGCGAUUGAAUGAGCCGAUGUCGGAUUAGCUAGUUGGCGGGGUAAAGGCCCACCAAGGCGACGAUACGUAGCUGGUCUGAGAGGAUGAUCAGCCACACUGGAACUGAGACACGGUCCAGACUCCUACGGGAGGCAGCAGUGGGGAAUAUUGGACAAUGGGCGCAAGCCUGAUCCAGCCAUACCGCGUGGGUGAAGAAGGCCCUCGGGUUGUAAAGCCCUUUUGUUGGGAAAGAAAUCCAGCUGGCUAAUACCCGGUUGGGAUGACGGUACCCAAAGAAUAAGCACCGGCUAACUUCGUGCCUGCAGCAGCCGCCG